GAUGACUGCUGGCAGCAAUGUCAGAGGAAAGUCCAUGCUCGCGCCGUCUGUGAUGGCGGCAGUGUCUGUGCCAGGCCAAUCAAUAAGCCUGGGGUGGGAGGAGUCCCAUACGGCAGAACCGAACCUAAAGGCAACCAUGGUAUCGGUUCUUGAAAGCUCCACAGUGACGAACCUGAGGGAAACCUCAGGAAUGCAACGAUUGGAAAGCCCCGCAAGCGAGAAACCUAAAUUUUGGUAAGGGAAGUCUGAAUCGGGAACCGAACCGAGACGGACAGGUCAUUGACCUAGAUAAAUUGUCAUCCUCGACAAAACAUGGCUUACAG
This 323-nucleotide RNase P RNA is filed under the name human gut metagenome. RNAcentral describes it as "Bacterial RNase P class B". It matches the Rfam family "Bacterial RNase P class B". From Rfam's summary of the family: Ribonuclease P (RNase P) is a ubiquitous endoribonuclease, found in archaea, bacteria and eukarya as well as chloroplasts and mitochondria. The record is from RNAcentral.